RNAcentral lists this long non-coding RNA (1210 nucleotides) under Homo sapiens (human). RNAcentral describes it as "PEF1 and COL16A1 antisense RNA 1, transcript variant 3 (PEF1-AS1)". The record is from RNAcentral. Lineage: Eukaryota; Metazoa; Chordata; Mammalia; Primates; Hominidae.
GUGCACUUCAACACCCUACUAUCACCCAACAAAGAAUUCUGGCCACAGAAUCACCUUGCUGCGGUAUUCCUGACUGAAUCAAGAUACGCUGGGGAAGAGGCAUCUGAAGAUAGCCCGGGUUCUGACCUCGGCCCUGCUGCCUAACUGCCUGGUGACUUCAGCGCAAGGCCUCGCUGAAGCGAACCCAUCGUGGGAAGGGCGCGGAGAAAGCGGGGAGAAAGAGCAGGGGGACGUCGGGCCUGCGCCUGGCACCGCCGCUACCUGGAUUCGCGGGCCCCUCACACACUCACCUGCCGGUAUUCUAAUCACAGAAUUACUGGAGCAUCAAGAAGUGCCUGCAUGCUUGGAAGGGCUUCCAGGCAGAUGAACACACCUCAGCACCGGGUGGCAUUUUCCCAGGGUGCAACCCGGACCGGCUCUGGGUCACACUGACAAGCCUCUCCGACUCCCCAGGCUGGGUUGGGUGCUCCUCCCUCUCAUCCCACAGCGCUAUGUCUCAUGUCUUCUGGAAAACUUGCCAAUCCCUAGUGACAACAGGGUUAACAAUUUCCAGAGACAGCCCGUACAUAGAAGGAAUGUUUACUGAAAAAAAUGAAGAGGGGUCAGGGCAAGGCGAGGAGCAAGAAGCACCCCCAAGGAAACAGAGAAGACCAGUACAACUGUACCUCUUUGCCAGCUGCACCAUCCGUACCAGGUGGCACGUUCCAGAGCCAUAGCCUCUGUUCUAUUCAUCUCCAGUCUCCUGGGGUGGAAGUGUCCAGCACAGAGACUGCCACACUGCAAGACGAAGGGGCUGGACACACGGAAGAGAGAGGCGGAACCCUGCACCCCCUCAACCUCAGCCCUACUGAGUCUCCAAUGGGGCCACGCUUCUGAGUGCACCUCCCCGUGUCAUCUGUAAUGUGAGGGGGAACCAGGCUUGAUAUGGCAUUCCCAAUCCAGGGCCUCUGGACCCCUUGAGAUGCAUAAAAAUAGUGAUGGGGGCCUGAGAGUUCUUUUUUUUUUUUUUUUUUUUUGGUCAUGAACUAUUUUUAACAUUUCCGAAAGCCUCCUGGAAAUUAUUAUGCAGCCAGCCACAACAGGGCUGCAACAAAAUGCCAGUAUCUUCGCUUUUCUCUGGAGUCCCAUCAGCUCAGUGCCGUCACACUGAUCAAAGGCACUGCCUGGCAGUCAUCUAUGUUAGUGAUGAGUAAAGUAGACAGGAAAUUCA